This 225-nucleotide ribosomal RNA is filed under the name uncultured eukaryote. RNAcentral describes it as "partial 18S ribosomal RNA". It matches the Rfam family "Eukaryotic small subunit ribosomal RNA", at positions 1208 to 1456 of the family's 1831-position model. The record is from RNAcentral.
GGAAAACUCACCAGGUCCAGACGUAGGCAUGAUUGACAGAUUGAUUGUUCUUUCUUGAUUCUACGGGUGGUGGUGCAUGGCCGUUCUUAGUUGGUGGAGUGAUUUGUCUGGUUAAUUCCGUUAACGAACGAGACCUCAGCCUGCUAACUAGUUUGUAUUCUCACAGAGUGCAAUACUUCUUAGAGGGACUAUAUGUGUCAAGCAUAUGGAAGUUUGAGGCAAUAA